Molecule: transfer RNA, 61 nt
Filed under: Nitrospirae bacterium RBG_16_43_11
Lineage: Bacteria; Pseudomonadati; Nitrospirota
Description: tRNA-Gly
Rfam family: tRNA
About the family: Transfer RNA (tRNA) molecules are approximately 80 nucleotides in length. Their secondary structure includes four short double-helical elements and three loops (D, anti-codon, and T loops). Further hydrogen bonds mediate the characteristic L-shaped molecular structure. tRNAs have two regions of fundamental functional importance: the anti-codon, which is responsible for specific mRNA codon recognition, and the 3' end, to which the tRNAs corresponding amino acid is attached (by aminoacyl-tRNA synthetases). tRNAs cope with the degeneracy of the genetic code in two manners: having more than one tRNA (with a specific anti-codon) for a particular amino acid; and 'wobble' base-pairing, i.e. permitting non-standard base-pairing at the 3rd anti-codon position.
Source: RNAcentral
AAUAGCUCAGCGGUAGAGCAUCGCCUUGCCAAGGCGAGGGUCGCGGGUUCAAAUCCCGUUU